Pelobates cultripes (western spadefoot toad) is the source of this 403-nucleotide non-coding RNA. The record is from the annotation of a GenBank genome assembly. Lineage: Eukaryota; Metazoa; Chordata; Amphibia; Anura; Pelobatidae.
GGAUGACAGCCAUGCAGACCAAUUUGAUGCAGUGUGCUGCGUAUGGUCUGAGCACUGACAGGCUGACCCUCCACCCCUUCAACCUCUGCAGCAAUGCUGGCAGCACUCAUACGUCUAUUUCCCAAAAGACAACCUCUGGAUAUGAUGCUGAGCACGUGCACUCAACUUCUUUGGUCGACCAUGCAAGGCCUAUUCUCUGUGGGCCCUGUCCUGUGAAACCACUUUAUGGUCUUACCCACUGGCUCAGUUUCAGGGCCUUGGCAAUCUUCUUAUAGCCUUGGCCAUCUUUAUGUAGAGCAACCAUUUUUUUUCACAUCCUCAAAGAGUUCUUUGCCAUGAGGUGCCAUGUUGAACUUCCAGUGAGCAUUAUGAGAGAGCGUGAGAGCGAUAACACCAAAUUCAC